Long non-coding RNA from Monodelphis domestica (gray short-tailed opossum), 736 nucleotides. RefSeq lists it as uncharacterized. NCBI's taxonomy places the organism in Eukaryota, Metazoa, Chordata, Mammalia, Didelphimorphia, Didelphidae. The record is from RefSeq and is a predicted model, not a curated record.
GAGGGGGGUAGAAAGGGAAGUAAAAUAAGGGAGGGGACUAGGGGAACUGAUUAAAAAUAAACAUUGGUGUAGAAGGAAAUAGUGAAAGAAGAAAAGGCAGGACUAGGAGUAGAAAUCAAAAUGCUUGGAAAUACAAAACUGGUAAUCAUAACUCUGAAUGUGAAUGGCAUGAACUCACCCAUAAAAUGCAAGUGAAUAGCAGAGUGGAUUCAAAUCCAAAACCCUACCAUAUGCUGUCUGCAAGAAACACACAUGAGGAAGGUAGCUACAGAUAGGGUGAAAGUAAGAGGAUGGAGCCAAAUCUAUUGGUCAUCAACUGAUAAAAAGAAGUUAGGAUUUGCAAUCAUGAUAUCUGACAAAGCCAAAGUAAAAAAAUAAAUCUAGUUAAAAGAGAUAGGGAAGUGUAAAAAUGGAGAUUUGAACCCCAGACUUCAAUCCCCAGAAGUCCUUGUUAGCUCCCAGAAUUCUCUCUAAUCUCCCUGAAUCUCACCUGAUUGUGAGGUCACAAAUUGUAUUCAAUCUGACUCUCCGCCUACUUUGAGUCUGUCUCUCAGCUUCUGCUUCUAGGGAUACACUGCUCUCUACCUAGCCGGCAAAAUCAAUUUUAGGAGAAGAAGCUUGCCAACUCCCAGAAUCCAGAAUAUGCCAUGAAGAUAGAUGCCUGCAGAGACCACAAGCCGAACCAGAAUAUCCAGAGUGAACUUUGGGAUGUGAAAUAAACUAUGGGGGAUUGAAA